RNAcentral lists this ribosomal RNA (468 nucleotides) under uncultured bacterium. RNAcentral describes it as "partial 16S ribosomal RNA". It matches the Rfam family "Bacterial small subunit ribosomal RNA", at positions 28 to 507 of the family's 1533-position model. The record is from RNAcentral.
GACGAACGCUGGCGGCGUGCUUAACACAUGCAAGUCGAACGGAAAGGCCCUGCUGUUGUGGGGUGCUCGAGUGGCGAACGGGUGAGUAACACGUGAGUAACCUGCCCUUGACUUUGGGAUAACGUCAGGAAACUGGGGCUAAUACCGGAUAGGAGCUCCUGCUGCAUGGUGGGGGUUGGAAAGUUUCGGCGGUUGGGGAUGGACUCGCGGCUUAUCAGCUUGUUGGUGGGGUAGUGGCUUACCAAGGCGUUGACGGGUAGCCGGCCUGAGAGGGUGACCGGCCAAAUUGGGACUGAGAUACGGCCCAGACUCCUCCGGGAGGCAGCAGUGGGGAAUAUUGAACAAUGGGCGGAAGCCUGAUGCAGCAACGCCGCGUGCGGGAUGACGGCCUUCGGGUUGUAAACCGCUUUCGCCUGUGACGAAGCGUGAGUGACGGUAAUGGGUAAAGAAGCACCGGCUAACUACGUG